This 86-nucleotide transfer RNA is filed under the name Gammaproteobacteria bacterium. RNAcentral describes it as "tRNA-Leu". It matches the Rfam family "tRNA". From Rfam's summary of the family: Transfer RNA (tRNA) molecules are approximately 80 nucleotides in length. Their secondary structure includes four short double-helical elements and three loops (D, anti-codon, and T loops). Further hydrogen bonds mediate the characteristic L-shaped molecular structure. tRNAs have two regions of fundamental functional importance: the anti-codon, which is responsible for specific mRNA codon recognition, and the 3' end, to which the tRNAs corresponding amino acid is attached (by aminoacyl-tRNA synthetases). tRNAs cope with the degeneracy of the genetic code in two manners: having more than one tRNA (with a specific anti-codon) for a particular amino acid; and 'wobble' base-pairing, i.e. permitting non-standard base-pairing at the 3rd anti-codon position. Lineage: Bacteria; Pseudomonadati; Pseudomonadota; Gammaproteobacteria. The record is from RNAcentral.
GCCCGGGUGGCGGAACUGGUAGACGCAGCGGACUUAAAAUCCGCAGGCCCGCGAGGGUCGUGCCGGUUCGAUUCCGGCUCCGGGCA